RNAcentral lists this unclassified non-coding RNA (379 nucleotides) under uncultured Pseudomonadota bacterium. Its description in RNAcentral is "uncultured proteobacterium contains 16S-23S intergenic spacer region". Lineage: Bacteria; Pseudomonadati; Pseudomonadota. The record is from RNAcentral.
UCGCGGCUUAUCACCGGCAGUCCCCUUAGAGUGCCCAACUAAAUGCUGGCAACUAAGGGCGAGGGUUGCGCUCGUUGCGGGACUUAACCCAACAUCUCACGACACGAGCUGACGACGGCCAUGCAGCACCUGUGUUCUGGUUCUCUUUCGAGCACUCCCAAAUCUCUUCAGGAUUCCAGACAUGUCAAGGGUAGGUAAGGUUUUUCGCGUUGCAUCGAAUUAAACCACAUCAUCCACCGCUUGUGCGGGCCCCCGUCAAUUCCUUUGAGUUUUAAUCUUGCGGCCGUACUCCCCAGGCGGUGCGCUUACCGCGUUGGCUACGACACUGAGUGGCUAGGCCACCCAACAUCCAGCGCACAUCGUUUACGGCGUGGACUAC